RNAcentral lists this long non-coding RNA (770 nucleotides) under Marmota monax (woodchuck). The record is from RNAcentral. Lineage: Eukaryota; Metazoa; Chordata; Mammalia; Rodentia; Sciuridae.
ACAUGGUUCCCAUGACACCCUCUCUCUGCUCUACCCUGGCCACUCCCCAUGGUGCUCAGGGCCUUGUGCUGCAGCUGCCCUCACCACUGAAAGUAGUCUGGCCAUGGUGUUUGCAGGGUUCUUUCCAUCCCCGGUGCAGUGACUGGGUUUUAUUAUUUUGCUACUCAGUAAUAAACCCUGGGGCAAUUUACCACUGAGCUACAUUCCCAGUCCCUGCUACUUUUUAUUGUAAAUCAGGGUCUCGCUAAUUUGCUGAGGCUGGUCUCAAACUUUCCUCAGUGUCCCAAGUCACUGGGAUUACAGGUGUGUGGCUAGGGAAAUAUGUCUGGGCAUCCCCUGCUGCCACUAGUCUCCCAGAUAGUUGAAUUCAAUGAAGGUAGGUUUUUAGAAAAAAUUGAGAGAUAAAUGAAUAAAGUGGGAGCAGGGUGGUGACACCAUUUUUGGAUCAGUUGAUCAGAACAGCACUAGAAAGAUCUUAAAAGGUACCUGGAAGGAAGAAGUGAGAGGACAGGUGUGGCCAAUGGAGACAGAGCAAGGAUCCUGCAAAGGGAAGCACAAGGAGAUGAGCAGCCCUGAGAAGGCAGGAGAAUUGGGUGCUGGGUCAGCACUGUCUGGGGAGAGCUGCUCACAAGUGGGUCGAAGGAGGUCACUCUUCCUUGGAGCCUGGGAAGGCAGGAGGCCCUGGGUCAUUCUUGGAGCCUUGCCCCGGGCCCAGGUUGAGCCCUGGCUUAACUGACCAACUUAGUGAGGAUCAUUGGGAGAUGGUCUUG